GAUGAACGCUGGCGGCGUGCUUAACACAUGCAAGUCGAACGAAGAGGCCCAGCUUUUGGGGUGUGUUCGUGGGGAACGGGUGUGUGACACAUGAGUAAACUGCCCUCAACUCUGUGGUAUGCCUGGAGAACAGUGGGGAUAACACGGUAUAGGCGUCCACGCCGCGGGGGGGGGUGUGGAAAUUUACCGGUUUUGGAUGGACUCGCGGCUUAUCAGCUUGUUGGUGUGGUAUUGGCUCACCAAGGCGACGACGGGUAGCCGGCCUGAGAGGGUGACCGGCCACACUGGGACUGAGAGACGGCCCAGACUCCUACGGGAGGCAGCAGUGGGGAAUAUUGCACAAUGGGCGGAAGCCUGAUGCAGCGACGCCGCGUGAGGGAUGACGGCCUUCGGGUUGUAAACCUCUUUCGGCAGGGACGAAGCGAGAGUGACGGUACUUGCAGAAGAAGCACCGGCUAACUACGUG
RNAcentral lists this ribosomal RNA (466 nucleotides) under uncultured bacterium. RNAcentral's name for it is "partial 16S ribosomal RNA". It matches the Rfam family "Bacterial small subunit ribosomal RNA", at positions 28 to 507 of the family's 1533-position model. The record is from RNAcentral.